GGUAGGGUAACCUGCCUGUAAGACUGGGAUAACUCCGGGAAACCGGGGCUAAUACCGGAUGGUUGUUUGAACCGCAUGGUUCAGACAUAAAAGGUGGCUUCGGCUACCACUUACAGAUGGACCCGCGGCGCAUUAGCUAGUUGGUGAGGUAACGGCUCACCAAGGCAACGAUGCGUAGCCGACCUGAGAGGGUGAUCGGCCACACUGGGACUGAGACACGGCCCAGACUCCUACGGGAGGCAGCAGUAGGGAAUCUUCCGCAAUGGACGAAAGUCUGACGGAGCAACGCCGCGUGAGUGAUGAAGGUUUUCGGAUCGUAAAGCUCUGUUGUUAGGGAAGAACAAGUGCCGUUCAAAUAGGGCGGCACCUUGACGGUACCUAACCAGAAAGCCACGGCUAACUACGUGCCAGCAGCCGCGGUAAUACGUAGGUGGCAAGCGUUGUCCGGAAUUAUUGGGCGUAAAGGGCUCGCAGGCGGUUUCUUAAGUCUGAUGUGAAAGCCCCCGGCUCAACCGGGGAGGGUCAUUGGAAACUGGGGAACUUGAGUGCAGAAGAGGAGAGUGGAAUUCCACGUGUAGCGGUGAAAUGCGUAGAGAUGUGGAGGAACACCAGUGGCGAAGGCGACUCUCUGGUCUGUAACUGACGCUGAGGAGCGAAAGCGUGGGGAGCGAACAGGAUUAGAUACCCUGGUAGUCCACGCCGUAAACGAUGAGUGCUAAGUGUUAGGGGGUUUCCGCCCCUUAGUGCUGCAGCUAACGCAUUAAGCACUCCGCCUGGGGAGUACGGUCGCAAGACUGAAACUCAAAGGAAUUGACGGGGGCCCGCACNAGCGGUGGAGCAUGUGGUUUAAUUCGAAGCAACGCGAAGAACCUUACCAGGUCUUGACAUCCUCUGACAAUCCUAGAGAUAGGACGUCCCCUUCGGGGGCAGAGUGACAGGUGGUGCAUGGUUGUNGUCAGCUCGUGUCGUGAGAUGUUGGGUUAAGUCCCGCAACGAGCGCAACCCUUGAUCUUAGUUGCCAGCAUUCAGUUGGGCACUCUAAGGUGACUGCCGGUGACAAACCGGAGGAAGGUGGGGAUGACGUCAAAUCAUCAUGCCCCUUAUGACCUGGGCUACACACGUGCUACAAUGGRCAGAACAAAGGGCAGCGAAACCGCGAGGUUAAGCCAAUCCCACAAAUCUGUUCUCAGUUCGGAUCGCAGUCUGCAACUCGACUGCGUGAAGCGGAAUCGCUAGUAAUCGCGGAUCCAGCCAUGCCGCGGUGAAUC
RNAcentral lists this ribosomal RNA (1268 nucleotides) under Bacillus velezensis. RNAcentral's name for it is "bacterial SSU rRNA". It matches the Rfam family "Bacterial small subunit ribosomal RNA", at positions 116 to 1368 of the family's 1533-position model. Lineage: Bacteria; Bacillati; Bacillota; Bacilli; Caryophanales; Bacillaceae. The record is from RNAcentral.